CCAACACAAGCUCUUCCUAGACAAGAAUAGUCUUUGGCCAAUGGCCCAAUACUAUGGAGUGACUGAAGUGAACCUGACUGCAGAGCUACAUCAGGUUCGGCGUCUGCUGGAAACAAAACAAAAGCAAGGACAGACAGUGAAUGACACAGUAGAAUUUCUAGCUCUAAUGAGACCUUACCGUGAUGCAGUUAUAGAUUUAUACAAUCUAAUCUGCAUAUCACUGACUCUGCCUGUGACAUCUGCCUGAUGCGAAUGGAGUUUCUUUUGCCUCAGACGCCUCAAAAACUACCUAAGGAAUAGCAGCGGCGAUGCUCGGAACAGCAACUUGGCCCUGUUGGCCAUAAACAGCCGGAGGACCAAAGCACUUGACAUCCUUAAAAUCACUGAUGCUUUCGCCACCAAUCACAACAACAGAUGGAUUGUGCUUCUCUGAAAACAUCAAUGCUUGUGAAACUUGUAUUCAUCUGGGUGCACUUCCUGGUUUUUCUGGACUUCAACCAAUGGCCGGAAAUUGCUAUUGGUGCUUAGGACUUGGGUGGUUUCUCGAGUGAGUUGGAAUUGGGAGACUCCCCUAACAACAGCAACAAUCAUGUGAUGACUACGAAUGAUUCUGGAAUGUUUCUGGAGAACUGGAAAAUUGCAAAUGUCACUACAGUCUUCAAGAAGUGAGGAAGACAGAAGAAGAAAAAAAUAUAGACUACUGCGUGUGGAAAUCCCAGGAUAUCAGCAGUUUCUGAGAUGCUCAAACCACGCCAUCUGGUACCAACAGUCAUUUCACCAUUAAUGUUACUGAGAUCAUAUUGCAAGACCAUCCCAAUGUUUGGUAUGAACAACAAAUGAACCUCUUGACCAUGUCUGCAUGUUCUUAUGCAUUAAGUUGUUGCUACAUUAUUGGCUGAUUAAAUAUUUACAUUAAC
Long non-coding RNA from Mobula hypostoma (lesser devil ray), 917 nucleotides. RefSeq lists it as uncharacterized. The transcript has 4 exons. The record is from RefSeq and is a predicted model, not a curated record. NCBI's taxonomy places the organism in Eukaryota, Metazoa, Chordata, Chondrichthyes, Myliobatiformes, Myliobatidae.